RNAcentral lists this ribosomal RNA (254 nucleotides) under uncultured bacterium. Its description in RNAcentral is "partial 16S ribosomal RNA". It matches the Rfam family "Bacterial small subunit ribosomal RNA", at positions 524 to 776 of the family's 1533-position model. The record is from RNAcentral.
UACAUGUGGGGGCAAGCGUUGUCCGGAAUCAUUGGGCGUAAAGCGCGUGUAGGCGGCUCGGAAAGUCUGGCGUGAAAUCUUGAGGCUCAACCUUAAGCUGUCACUGGAUACUGUCGAGCUUGAGUCCGGAAGAGGAGAGUGGAAUUCCUGGUGUAGCGGUGGAAUGCGCAGAUAUCAGGAGGAACACCUAUGGCGAAGGCAGCUCUCUGGUACGUGACUGACGCUGAGACGCGAAAGCGUGGGGAGCAAACAGG